GCCCCUGUAGCUCAGUAGAUAGAGCGGCGAGCUUCUACCUCGCGGGUCGGGAGUGCAACUCUCUCCAGGGGUGCUA
Molecule: transfer RNA, 76 nt
Filed under: bacterium
Lineage: Bacteria
Description: tRNA-Arg
Source: RNAcentral